AUCGCUUCUUGGCCUUUUGGCUAAGAUCAAAUGUAGUAUCUGUUCUUAUCGGUUUAAAACCACAAACAGAGUUUUAAGCUAUUUACUUUUCCUGGACACAUGAAGGAAAGAAUAUAAUUUAAAAGGGAAGUGCUUGAACAGCGAUCAGAAGACUCAAAGGAUUACCCUGGCUCUGAUUAUAAAAUGCAUUUUAGCUCAU
Pteronotus mesoamericanus is the source of this 199-nucleotide small nuclear RNA. RefSeq annotates it as U2 spliceosomal RNA. The transcript has a single exon. Lineage: Eukaryota; Metazoa; Chordata; Mammalia; Chiroptera; Mormoopidae. The record is from RefSeq and is a predicted model, not a curated record.